CCUUGAUCUUCUUGAAGUCCACGGGCUUGCGGAUGAGCUCGUAGUACUCGGGGAGCUCCUUGCGGGACGGCAGCUGGAUGAAAACCUCGCUGAGCUGGCGCCCGCUGCUGCUGCGGGGGGACACGGGCGUCAGCGCGGCCUUCGUCGCCAGCAUCGUCAUCAUCGUCAUCGUCAUCGUCAUCAUCGUCACCAGCAUCGUCAUCAUCAUCGUCACCAUCAUCGUCAUCGUCACCAGCAUCAUCGUCAUCAUCGUCAUCAUCGUCAUCAUCAUUGUCGUCAUUGUCGUCAUCAUCAUCUCAUUAUCAUCAUCGUCACCAUCAUCAUCGUCAGCAUCAUCGUCAUCAUCAGCAUCAUCAUCAUCGUCAUUGUCACCGUCACCAUAAUCAUCAUUGUCAUCAUCACAGUCAUCAUCACCAUCAUCAUCAUCGUCAUCAUCAUCUCAUUAUCAUCAUUGUCACCAUCAUCAUCAUCAUCGUCAUCAUCAUCAUCACCACAUUGUCAUCAUUGUCAUCGUCAUCAUUGUCCUCAUCACCAUCAUCAUCAUAAUCAUCAUCAUCGUCAUCAUCAUCUCAUUAUCAUCACCACAUUGUCCCCAUCCUCAUCAUCAUCAUCUCAUCUCCAUCAUCGUCAUCAUCUCAUCAUUAUCAUCAUCAUCACCGUCAUACUCAUCACUGUCAUCAUCAUCAUUGUCAUCAUCUCCAUCAUCAUCAUCGUCAUUGUCAUCGUCACCGUCAUCAUCGUCAUCACACUGUCAUCCUCAUCAUCAUCAUCAUCAUCUCAUUAUCAUCAUCACAUUGUCCUCCUCCUCCUCAUCAUCUUCAUCAUCAGUAUCUCAUUAUCAUCAUCAUCAUCAUCAUCAUCAUCACCAUCAUCAUCAUCACCUUCAUCCCAUGGAUCCCACCCCAGAUCCCAUCCCAAUCCUCUCACAUCCACCUUGUGUCCCAGGAACCUGCAGGAACCGCCCAUCCCGACGUGUCCUCCUCACCUGUCCUUGUACUUGAUGACAACCAGAACCUCCAGAACCUCCAGGAACCUUCAGACCCACUAAGAACCUCCAGGAACCCCUAAGAACCCCCAGGAACCUUCAGGAACCGCCCAUCCCGACGUGUCCUCCUCACCUGUCCUUGUAGUUGAUGACAACCAGGAAUCUCCAGAACCUCCAGGAACCUCCAGAUCCACCAGGAACCCCCAGGAACCUGCAGGAACCGCCCAUCCCGACGUGUCCUCCUCACCUGUCCUUGUACUUGAUGACGGCGUCCACGAUCUUGCGCAUCUUGCGGGUCAGGGGCGGUGGGUUCGGGGACAACUUCUCGGCCGGGGGUCGCCCUCGUUUCUUCUGCUUCCGGAUCUCCUCGUCCUUGUCGCGGCUCCGGGCGCCCGCCGGGGGUCCCGGGGGUCCCUCGGGCUCCCGCUUGCGCUUGCGAGAGGACUUCUUCUGGCGGACCUCCUCCUCGAUCUCCUCCAGGGUGCCCUCCUCGAUGGCCUGGUGGGGAACCAAGGGGAUUUAGGAUCUACAGGAGUUUGGGAUCUACAGGGGUUUGGGAUCAUCUCAGUCCAGAGGAUUUGGGUCUCCUUGGGCCUGGAGAUCCUUGGGAUUGGAGAACCUUGGGAUUGGAGAACCUUGGGCCUGGAGAA
Junco hyemalis (dark-eyed junco) is the source of this 1635-nucleotide long non-coding RNA. The record is from Ensembl. NCBI's taxonomy places the organism in Eukaryota, Metazoa, Chordata, Aves, Passeriformes, Passerellidae.